AUGUUGUUAGUAUAAUUUAUUAUGCUAUUUUUCCAAAGUGGUGAUCUAUUUUUAGGCAGCAUA
Molecule: transfer RNA, 63 nt
Filed under: Dipylidium caninum
Lineage: Eukaryota; Metazoa; Platyhelminthes; Cestoda; Cyclophyllidea; Dipylidiidae
Description: tRNA-Gly
Source: RNAcentral